CACGUUUUCCUUGAUGAAUAACCCCAAUCCUUUUGCUGAGUCCCCCGAAUCUCCGUUUGGGGGCUCCAAGCUCCUUGUUAGGGUUCGAUUCAUUGGCCUUGCUUUGUUCCAAGCUGUUCGUCGCGGCCAAGGAGACGAUCUUGAUUCCUUGAUUUAGCGGGGUAUUGAUCCCUGAUCAGGAUGUCUAUGCACGAGAGGAAGACGAUCGAUCUGGAGCAGGGAUGGGAGUUCAUGCAGAAGGGCAUCACCAAGCUGAAGAACAUAUUGGAAGGGCUCCCGGAGUCGCAGUUCAGCUCGGAGGACUACAUGAUGCUCUAUACGACUAUCUACAACAUGUGCACCCAGAAACCCCCGCAUGAUUACUCGCAGCAGCUGUAUGACAAAUACCGCGAGUCAUUUGAGGAAUACAUCACGUCGAUGGUACUUCCUUCUUUGAGAGUGAAGCAUGAUGAAUUUAUGUUGAGGGAGCUAGUUAAGAGAUGGCUAAAUCAUAAAGUUAUGGUCAGGUGGCUUUCACGUUUCUUUCAUUACCUUGAUCGCUACUUUAUCACACGGAGGUCACUUCCUCCACUAAAUGAAGUUGGGCUUACCUGCUUCCGUGACCUGGUCUAUCAGGAAGUCAAGGAUAAAGUCAAAGAUGCUGUCAUCUCCUUGAUUGAUCGAGAACGUGAGGGGGAACAAAUUGAUAGGGCUUUAUUAAAGAAUGUCUUGGACAUUUUCGUUGAAAUUGGAUUGGGUAAUAUGGAGUGUUACGAAAAUGACUUUGAAGCACAUUUGCUUAAAGACACUGCUGCCUAUUAUUCUAGGAAAGCUUCAAACUGGAUUCUAGAAGAUUCAUGCCCUGAUUACAUGUUAAAGGCAGAGGAGUGUUUAAAGCGUGAGAAGGACAGGGUUGCUCAUUACCUGCACUCUAGCAGUGAACAGAAGUUGUUAGAGAAAGUGCAACAUGAGCUACUAUAUGUCAAUGCUAGCCAACUUCUCGAAAAAGAACAUUCUGGAUGUCAUGGAUUACUUCGAGAUGAUAAGGUGGAUGAUCUCUCGCGGAUGUACAGACUCUUUUGUAGAAUACAACGUGGCUUAGAUCCUGUUUCUCAAAUAUUUAAGCAGCAUGUGACUAUUGAGGGCACUGCUCUAGUCAAACAGGCAGAAGACUCUGCAAGUAACAAAAAGGCUGAGAAAAGGGAUGUUGUUGGCCUACAAGAGCAGGUUUUUGUUAGAAAAGUUAUCGAACUACAUGACAAGUACUUGGCAUAUGUGAAUGAUUGCUUCCAGAAUCACUCCCUUUUUCACAAGGCACUCAAAGAGGCAUUUGAGGUUUUCUGCAACAAGGGUGUUGCAGGAAGCUCAAGUGCUGAGUUAUUGGCUACUUUUUGUGACAAUAUCCUUAAGAAAGGUGGAAGUGAAAAACUCAGUGAUGAAGCAAUCGAAGAGACACUUGAGAAGGUCGUAAAGUUGCUUGCUUAUAUUAGUGACAAAGAUCUGUUUGCCGAGUUCUAUAGGAAGAAGCUUGCUAGGAGGUUGCUCUUUGACAAAAGUGCCAAUGAUGACCAUGAGAGGAGCAUUUUGACAAAGCUGAAACAACAAUGCGGAGGGCAGUUUACUUCAAAGAUGGAGGGCAUGGUUACAGAUCUUACCCUUGCAAGGGAAAACCAAUCUGGUUUUGAGGAUUAUCUCAACAAUAAUGCUCAUGCAAAUCCAGGGAUUGAUCUUACUGUUACUGUUCUUACGACCGGAUUCUGGCCAAGUUACAAAUCAUUUGAUCUCAACCUUCCUGUCGAGAUGGUUAAAUGCGUGGAGGUCUUCAGAGAAUUUUAUCAAACAAAAACUAAACACAGAAAGCUUACUUGGAUAUAUUCGUUAGGGACCUGUAACAUCAAUGCAAAAUUUGAGCACAAAACCAUUGAGCUUAUUGUAACAACAUAUCAGGCAGCUGCUCUUCUUCUGUUUAAUGCCUCUGAUAGAUUGAGCUAUUCAGAGAUCAUGACUCAGCUUAACUUGACGGAUGACGAUGUAAUCAGAUUGCUCCACUCCCUUUCAUGUGCCAAGUACAAAAUUCUUAAUAAGGAGCCAAAUACCAAAACCAUUUCUUCAACUGAUGUAUUUGAGUUUAAUAACAAAUUCAAUGACAAAAUGAGAAGGAUCAAGAUACCUCUUCCUCCAGUGGAUGAGAAGAAGAAAGUAAUAGAAGAUGUUGACAAGGACAGAAGGUAUGCCAUUGAUGCCUCCAUUGUGCGCAUUAUGAAAAGCAGGAAAGUUCUAGGCCAUCAACAGUUGGUGAUGGAAUGCGUUGAGCAACUUGGUCGUAUGUUUAAGCCUGAUUUCAAAGCAAUUAAGAAGCGGAUUGAAGAUCUGAUCACUAGGGAUUACUUGGAGAGGGACAAGGACAACCCAAAUAUCUUCAGAUAUUUGGCCUGAUUGACCUCCAAUCCUGGUAGAACGCACGUCUAUCAGUGUCAGGUGUCGUCAUGCAACCAGCCAAUUCCUUGUGUACCCGUAGUUGCUGUGGAAAAGUUGGCAAUUUGUAAAGAUUGUGGCGCAUAUUGCGCAUUCAUCAUGGAACCAGCCUAUAUGCACUCAAGUGUUGCUAAGUUUUUUGAUGGUCGAUGUCAGCUGGUCAAACGCUAUGCCCACUUUCCAGUUGGUGCUUCAAACUCAGGAAUUUGGGCAGGGAUUUUCUGGUCCAGAUCUCUGUACCAGUCAGGAGUCUGGCCCCUGUCUAUUUAUUAGUGGGAUGAAUUAUAUUUUACCUGUUAAACGGUGGGUCUAGUUCAUCCCACUAAUGAGCUUACAGGACCUUUUCUAGUCUAGAAGAUCCUGGACGAAAAUCUCUGCCUCCAGGAGGCAGGAUGGAGCCUGAUUUCAAAGCAAUUAAGAAGCGGAUUGAAGAUCUGAUCACUAGGGAUUACUUGGAGUGGGACAAGGACAACCCAAAUAUCUUCAGAUAUUUGGCCUGAUUGACCUGCAAUCCUGGUAGAACACGAGCGUCUAUCAGUCUUCUGGUGUCGUCAUGCAACCAACCAAUUCCUUGUGUACCCGUAGCUGCUGUGCAAAAGUUGGUAAUUUGUAAACAUUGUGGCGCAUAUUGCACAUUCAUCAUGGAACCGGCCUAUAUGCACUCAAGUGUUGCUAAGUUUUAUGAUGGUAAUGACCAUCAAAUAACGAAAGCAUUGUAAUUGUUCUUAUUUUAUGUUUUUCUUUCGUAUCACUUGAUUAUAUCAUAUUUGUGAUAUAUAUCUUGCUUACUCUUCCAAGUAAACAGGGCUAUUUGUAUGUUGACGAAUUAUUGAGAAAAAUGAGACUGCUGUAUUUUUGUGUUCGGA
This is an RNA transcript of Zingiber officinale, 3320 nucleotides long. It is a transcript of the gene named cullin-1-like, with no coding region annotated. The record is from RefSeq and is a predicted model, not a curated record. Lineage: Eukaryota; Viridiplantae; Streptophyta; Magnoliopsida; Zingiberales; Zingiberaceae. The transcript is spliced from 21 exons.